This 473-nucleotide ribosomal RNA is filed under the name uncultured bacterium. RNAcentral's name for it is "bacterial SSU rRNA". It matches the Rfam family "Bacterial small subunit ribosomal RNA", at positions 335 to 799 of the family's 1533-position model. The record is from RNAcentral.
ACUCCUACGGGAGGCAGCAGUGGGGAAUAUUGCACAAUGGGCGCAAGCCUGAUGCAGCCAUGCCGCGUGUGUGAAGAAGGCCUUCGGGUUGUAAAGCACUUUCAGUCGUGAGGAAGGUAGUGUAGUUAAUAGCUGCAUUAUUUGACGUUAGCGACAGAAGAAGCACCGGCUAACUCCGUGCCAGCAGCCGCGGUAAUACGGAGGGGUGCGAGCGUUAAUCGGAAUUACUGGGCGUAAAGCGCAUGCAGGUGGUUUGUUAAGUCAGAUGUGAAAGCCCGGGGCUCAACCUCGGAAUAGCAUUUGAAACUGGCAGACUAGAGUACUGUAGAGGGGGUAGAAUUUCAGGUGUAGCGGUGAAAUGCGUAGAGAUCUGAAGGAAUACCGGUGGCGAAGGCGGCCCCCUGGACAGAUACUGACACUCAGAUGCGAAAGCGUGGGGAGCAAACAGGAUUAGAUACCCUGGUAGGAUAGCG